CAGUCGCCACGGGAAUACGAAGGGUGCAAGCGUUAAUCGGAAUUACUGGGCGUAAAGCGUGCGUAGGCGGUGAGUUAAGUCUGCUGUGAAAUCCCCGGGCUCAACCUGGGAAUGGCAGUGGAUACUGGCUCGCUAGAGUGUGUCAGAGGAUGGUGGAAUUCCCGGUGUAGCGGUGAAAUGCGUAGAGAUCGGGAGGAACAUCAGUGGCGAAGGCGGCCAUCUGGGACAACACUGACGCUGAGGCACGAAAGCGUGGGGAGCAAACAGGAUUAGAUACCCGGUAGUCCCUGUCUCUUAUACA
Molecule: ribosomal RNA, 301 nt
Filed under: uncultured bacterium
Lineage: Bacteria
Description: partial 16S ribosomal RNA
Rfam family: Bacterial small subunit ribosomal RNA
Source: RNAcentral